Non-coding RNA from Eurypyga helias (sunbittern), 84 nucleotides. The record is from Rfam. Lineage: Eukaryota; Metazoa; Chordata; Aves; Eurypygiformes; Eurypygidae.
GGAAUAUUCUCGGAGUUGUAGUCUUUCAAACAGAGCUUUGCAAGGACAUACCUGUAUUGGAACACUACAGCUCCCUGAACUUCC